This 498-nucleotide ribosomal RNA is filed under the name uncultured bacterium. Its description in RNAcentral is "bacterial SSU rRNA". It matches the Rfam family "Bacterial small subunit ribosomal RNA", at positions 29 to 518 of the family's 1533-position model. The record is from RNAcentral.
AUGAACGCUGGCGGCGUGCCUAACACAUGCAAGUCGAACGGAGUGUAGACGCUGUGCGAAGAAGUGCUUGCACGGAUUCAACUGUUACACUUAGUGGCGGACGGGUGAGUAACGCGUGGAAAACCUGCCUCAUACAGGGGGAUAACAGGAAGAAAUUCCUGCUAAUACCGCAUGAGCGCACACUGUCGCAUGGCAGAGUGUGAAAAGAUUUAUCGGUAUGAGAUGGUUCCGCGUCUGAUUAGCCAGUUGGCGGGGUAACGGCCCACCAAAGCGACGAUCAGUAGCCGGCCUGAGAGGGCGGACGGCCACAUUGGGACUGAGACACGGCCCAGACUCCUACGGGAGGCAGCAGUGGGGGAUAUUGCACAAUGGAGGCAACUCUGAUGCAGCGACGCCGCGUGGGUGAAGAAGUUAUUCGUAAUGUAAAGCCCUAUCAGCAGGGAAGAUAAUGACGGUACCUGACUAAGAAGCCCCGGCUAACUACGUGCCAGCCGCGGC